RNAcentral lists this long non-coding RNA (4541 nucleotides) under Eptatretus burgeri (inshore hagfish). RNAcentral describes it as "lncRNA (ENSEBUG00000017375.1)". Lineage: Eukaryota; Metazoa; Chordata; Myxini; Myxiniformes; Myxinidae. The record is from RNAcentral.
CCCCCUCACAAUGCAAUUUGCUUGUUACGGCUCAAGUCCGACGCGUGGAUUUCCCAUCGUCGGUGACGUACGCACGUCAUCACGUGGGCGGAUUUCGCAACGCGGGAAUUCCCAACAGAUCUCGCAGUUGGAAGUGGCAGCAGCAGCGUCGGCUUAGUCCUUGGUUGUCGCCGAGUGAACGGAUCUCAGGAUCAGCGGCGGCUCAGAUUGUGUAACCUGGACAAGCUCGUCGUUUGUUUGUGUUUCAGCCAACUUCGUGCAUCGUCCUGUAUGCCUUAGUGCGUACGUACGUACGUACUGCGGGAAAUAUGAACCGUAAAUGCGAUGCCGACGAGUUCUACGACUCCCUCCUUCGAGAAUGUUUAUCGUGUUCAUCAUGUGAUGACAAGAAGAACAGCCGCUGUAACGCUGACUGUAACGCGCAACAGGAAUCGGGGGAAUGGAUCCCAUCACCAAAGCCAACUCAGUUCGUAUCAACAACAGACAUUUUGAGUUCACCAACAAAAACACUUGGUCUUGGAUCCUCUCAAGAACACAUUUACUACAUUAUUGCUGCUGUAUUCUUCUUCCUGAUCCUCACCCUGGGACUCCUCCUGCUGCAACACAAGGUCUUCCAUUUCCUCAAGAAGAAGCCCAGACGAACUGGACAAGCCUGUGGACAAAUGAACACUGCAGGAGGCAGGGAACAAAACUGCACGGAGAUGGAACCACUGCAGGUAGCAACCUUGCACAUGAGGCCUUGCCAACCUUGCCAACCUGAGACUACGGUGGUGCCUAUAACAGAGUCUGGUGAUGGAACGUCUUGCUUAGUGCCUACUGGUUAUGAGUCAAACUCUGGACAUGCACUACCACUACUAACAUUGGUCUCGGGCUAAUAGCCGUUGCUUGAAUCCAUUCGUUGUGAACCACAAAUGAACUUGAUGAAUACACCAAAUCACAAAUGAACGAUUCAUGUCAGGAAAUGGUUUUAGGGCAAAGGUACUCUUAUCGCUCUGAAAUCCAAUACCUCUGUUUUUCCUGUGGAUGUGUUUCAUUAAUUGUAAUUAUUUUUGUAACUAUCAGAUGGAUAUAAAAUAAGAAGGUUCUUGAAAGCUGGGCUCUUCACAAGGCUUUCAAGGGUUGGACUUUGGAUUCUGCCCAAACCUCUUGGAGAUUAAUCUUAUAUUAAAGAGGAAAAUAUUGUACAGAAGUGUGAAUUAAAGUUAUGAAAAUAAAGUUGCUUAUUGCCUUGAAUUCAUGUUGUGACUGAUCAAUGAAUUACUCGUGAAAUAUUUUCCUGUCAAUUUGAAACUACAACUCUAAAAAUCAAUUUCCACUUUACAGCUACGAAUGAGCAAACCAUAUUAUUGCUAAAUCUGAGCCAUUCCUGUGAUACUGUUCUCACUGAAAUGUAUUAAUGAAAUGCCAGUUUGUUCAAAAUAUUUACUUUUUAUUAUUAAGACUCACAUUGGAGCUUGUAUAUAAAUCACAUGCCGGACAAAGACAUUGGUGUAAUUGGUGUACUUUCAUGCAAAUUACAUGGACAUUAUUAGAUAACGAGUAUAAAAGCCCGUCAAAAUGAUGGGUUGGAAUUAUUUUAUUUGAAAUAUUCAAGGAGACUGGAAGAUAUGAUGUUUCAAUUCGUAGCAAGAAAAAAACGUUAUUUUAAGACACUACAUGUACAAAUGUGACCCUAUCUUCUUCAUCUUCUGGGACGUUUCAUUUUGACGGUACAGCCUCGUGAGCAUGCCAAAGUCUGAAGCCUCGGCCUAGUGUCAGGUGUGCUUAUAUCUUCUUUAUUUAUUAGACAUCCUACAGACGUAAGUGAACACUCGUUUUACUCUGCGUGUGUUGCACAUCAUUUGCAGUGAAUUUCACCUCCCUGUGCCUUGAUUUAUUGUUAGUUUUUUCAAUGCUUCUGUACACUGCUCUUGAGGUCCGGUUGCAAGUCACCAUCUACAUUUCCAACAGAAGAGAUGUAAUUAUUCUUUUAUCAAAAAUGUUUUUCGAGUUAUUUAAUCCUGAAAAAUAGACCGUAGUGAACACACAGUCGUGUUAAAGAUUGGCCUUUAAAACCCUUCUUAAAUCGUCUUUAUGAAGGGGGACAGACAAAUACACAAAUACCCAGUUUCAUAACUCAACAUAGCAUAAGGGAUUUGAAACUGGGCUCCACACAUUUGGAGUCAUUUGUUCAGAUACGAAUGCUAAACAGACCAACUCAAUUGUGUAUUCAUCAAAUCUAAAAUAUUUUGAACAUUAUGGGAAAACAUGACCACAUGGCAUGAUGUACCUCAAAACCUUGUUUAUUGAACAUAUAUUUACCUAGUGUGAAAUAAAAAGCAUGAUUAAGCAAUUGUUUCACUAUAGUCUGUCUGCCUGUCUGUCUGUCUGUCUACAGAUGUCAGUCUAUGCUCGAGGAACUACUUGAUUUCAAUUGAAUGUUAUAUUUGAACACUGUAGAACACGAAUCUGAACACAAAUCUGCAGUUUAGCAGAACAUUGGCUCUGAAUUUGGCAAAUUCUACGGAAUCUCGUCCCAAGCUUGCAUAAACAGAGAGGAGUAAGGCUGCCUGUCUGGCAGUCAAACAAGAUUGAAAAUCAUUCCAAACAGGAAAGUUACUAUUUUUAGGUAGUCACAAAUGCCACAAACAACAGGCACGAGGAACUAAUGCAACGUGCAUCAAUGGUGGUAAACUUCUGGAAAAAGUUUUUUUUUCCUGCAGCCUUUAAAACCUUGAUUAAUUUCAAUUGAAUUAUAUACUGGAACUACUGUAGAACACAAAUUGCAUUCUUACCACUUCCAAAUUCCUUAUGUUUUUCAGUACUUGGACAAAAUAUUACACAAUUUUACGCCAUCUCGACCAAUCAAAUCAAAUUUGCCGUUCACGCUCUCAGUAUUGUGGAAUAUCCAUCCAUUGGGGCCAUACUCUGUGAAGAGCGUUGGUGCUGCCAAAGCAGUCUCCUUGGCUAUUGGGCAAAAUCAUGGAUCGCCACUCUGACACAGGAUACCAGCAAGCUGGCACUCAUUUUGCUGACCUCAGAAGGAUGACAGGCAGAGUCAGCCCCAACUGGUAUUAAUUCAAUAGCUCAGGGGGAUUUGAACUCAGGAUUCUAGAAUCCCAAGCCCGCCACCCUAACCGUUAAGCCAACACCAGGCAUGUGGAAUAUCGAGAUUAAGACAAAGUGGCAGGUCGUAGGAAAUGUAGAUUGUGUUCGGAAACACAAAGCAAGAGUCAUGUCCUUUUUAUCAAGACUGUGUGGGGGUUAGGUGUUGGAAGAACUCUAGUUAUUGUAAAGGUUAAAAAAUUUUUUUUAACAAAACCAAAGGUAUACAUGUGGUCAACUAUAUCCAUUGUUUUUAAAUUCCAAUAGUAGGUAACUGCCUUAACAGCAUUCUCAGACCUAUUUACCUCAAGUGUUCCGGUUCAGUGAGGUUAUAGAAUUGUGGGCAGGCUUGGUGCCAGGAUUUUAGAAAGAGGAAAGGUGGGGUGUUCAUUUUCAGCAUUACCAACUGUGUACGAGCAACAUCAACAGCCAACCUCGCUCCCAAUUGUAUGUGAUCAACAGUUCAAAUCCUUCCAUUUUAGCUUCAUUGGACAAAUAAAACAUUUCGCCCACAUUGUUCAAAUUCUGCCAAACAAACCAUUGUUCUUUUGAUGAACACUGCAUGCAUUGUAAACUGCCUUUGAUUGCUGGAUAUCUUGCUUUCUAUUUUAACUUUUAACGAAUGUUUAUUCAGUAUCACUUACUCAUCCCUACCUAUUUCUGAUUGAUUCACAUAAAGCAGCAUUUUAUGACACUACUACUACUACUACUACUACUACUACUACACCACUACUUUAAUAGCCACAUUCAAUUCCAUCCUCUUGUGGGGUUGGUUGGCCAUGGGGAAAGUUUGUGUCCAAUUACUUUCAUAAACCUGACAACCUGACAGUUGACUGGAGCUCACUUGUGCAGGAAUGUAUUUUUGUUGCAUACAGUGUCGAGGCUUGUGGAGGAGUGAGAACACAGAACGGAUCAAGACGUAACAGACCAAAAGCAACAGUGGAAAGAAAGGGAGUGUGGAAGGGGGAAGACACACCAACAGCAGGGUUGAGGGACAAAACAGAGGGAGUCCGAAAGAAAGAAGGGAUGUGGGGAAAAAUGAGGGCUAGCAGAGUGAACGGGGUGAAUAAGAUGGAUACAGCCGCUAACUCUCAAUCACAGAAGUGGAAGGAAAGAUUGUGAACUUGGGAAGAGGUGGGCUUUGGGAGGGUUAAUGGGGUGGAAAAGAUCAUGGUUGUGGAUGGGGGAUGACCCGAGAUGGUGGUAAACAGCAGUCUUGAAGCCUUAGAAGGAGGUGGAGAUUGAAGAGAGUGAGGAAGUUGGUUCUGCAAGCAGGAAAAAAGAGGAACGACUGAGUGGAGGUGAGCACUGAUUCUAGAUUUUGGAAGUUUCACCAACAGAGGGUGACUGGUAGAUCACGUGCACCUUGCAGAAACCUGGAGAAACCGCAGUCACCCAAAACAAAUGUGGUAUUUGUUUAGAGUGCCUGUGAGAACUCACAAACUCUUCAUUAAAAG